UACAGAGGGUGCGAGCGUUGUUCGGAAUUACUGGGCGUAAAGCGCGCGCAGGCGGCCCUUUAAGUCCGCUGGUGAAAGACCGGGGCUCAACCCCGUGUCAGCCAGGGAUACUGGAGGGCUGGAGACACGUAGAGGCAAGCGGAAUUCCGGGUGUAGCGGUGGAAUGCGUAGAGAUCCGGAAGAACACCGGAGGCGAAGGCGGCUUGCUGGGCGUGAUCUGACGCUGAGGCGCGAAAGCGUGGGGAGCGAACAGG
This 254-nucleotide ribosomal RNA is filed under the name uncultured bacterium. Its description in RNAcentral is "partial 16S ribosomal RNA". It matches the Rfam family "Bacterial small subunit ribosomal RNA", at positions 524 to 776 of the family's 1533-position model. The record is from RNAcentral.